Molecule: unclassified non-coding RNA, 150 nt
Filed under: uncultured fungus
Lineage: Eukaryota; Fungi
Description: sequence contains ITS1
Source: RNAcentral
UUGUUGCUGUUAAGAUACAUCCACAUUCAAUCACACAAAAGUUUGUUAUUGAAAACGGCCCGAGGGCCAACAGUUCACAGAGGUGUCGGGAUUAUGAAUCAGGCCAGUGGCCAAUCACUAAUGAUCCUUCCGCAGGUUCACCUACGGAAA